RNAcentral lists this ribosomal RNA (305 nucleotides) under uncultured bacterium. Its description in RNAcentral is "bacterial SSU rRNA". It matches the Rfam family "Bacterial small subunit ribosomal RNA", at positions 335 to 636 of the family's 1533-position model. The record is from RNAcentral.
GAUCCUACGGGAGGCAGCAGUGAGGAAUAUUGGUCAAUGGGAGGAAUCCUGAACCAGCCAUGCCGCGUGCAGGACGACGGCUCUACGAGUUGUAAACUGCUUUUGUACCGGGGUAAAAUGCCUUACGAGUAGGGUUUUGAAAGUACGGUACGAAUAAGGAUCGGCUAACUCCGUGCCAGCAGCCGCGGUAAUACGUAGGGGGCAAGCGUUGUUCGGAAUGACUGGGCGUAAAGGGUGUGUAGGCGGUGUAGCAAGUUAGAAGUGAAAUACCUAGAGCUUAACUCAGGUGCUGCUUCUAAAACUGC